GACGAACGCUGGCGGCGUGCUUAACACAUGCAAGUCGAACGGAAAGGCCCUGCUUUUGUUGGGUGCUCGAGUGGCGAACGGGUGAGUAACACGUGAGUAACCUGCCCUUGACUUUGGGAUAACUUCAGGAAACUGGGGCUAAUACCGGAUAGGAGCUCCUGCUGCAUGGUGGGGGUUGGAAAGUUUCGGCGGUUGGGGAUGGACUCGCGGCUUAUCAGCUUGUUGGUGGGGUAGUGGCUUACCAAGGCUUUGACGGGUAGCCGGCCUGAGAGGGUUACCGGCCACAUUGGGACUGAGAUACGGCACAGGCUCCUAUGGGCGGCAGCAGUGGGGAAUAUUGCACAAUGGGCGGAAGCCUGAUGCAGCAACGCCGCGUGCGGGAUGACGGCCUUCGGGUUGUAAACCGCUUUCGCCUGUGACGAAGCGUGAGUGACGGUAAUGGGUAAAGAAGCACCGGCUAACUACGUG
Molecule: ribosomal RNA, 468 nt
Filed under: uncultured bacterium
Lineage: Bacteria
Description: partial 16S ribosomal RNA
Rfam family: Bacterial small subunit ribosomal RNA
Source: RNAcentral